UUCAUUGAAGAAAUACAGAAUUUAUUUUGCCAGUCAUGAAGUUUCCUGUAUUGAAGCAUAGGCAUUUUAAAAUUGUUGGCACAAUAACUGCAAACUCCAUUAUAAACGGGGAUAGUGAUGGGGUUAAAGGAUUUACCAGUGUGGUCAGCUCAUGGAGUGCAUCUUAUGGCCAAAUGGAAUCAGACCGUGACACUUAGACAAAUGGAAGGGCUUGCCUGUUGCUCAACAAAUCAUCUACAGAAGUUGUGGGAUAAGGAGUAGAGUACAAAGAAAGAUGAUUAAUUUCUGAAUAAUGUCGAUAUGCGAACAUGAGUUGACGUAGUGGCAUUUCUUUUAGUAGAUAUGCUAUUGGAUUUAUGGACUUUUACAAAGGAGUUUUGUUCAUUCUUGACAAGUAAACAUAAUGAAGGCAAAAUUCA
Long non-coding RNA from Xenia sp. Carnegie-2017, 419 nucleotides. RefSeq lists it as uncharacterized. NCBI's taxonomy places the organism in Eukaryota, Metazoa, Cnidaria, Anthozoa, Malacalcyonacea, Xeniidae. The record is from RefSeq and is a predicted model, not a curated record. The transcript is spliced from 2 exons.